RNAcentral lists this ribosomal RNA (495 nucleotides) under Lactobacillus sp. WK2S-6B. RNAcentral's name for it is "bacterial SSU rRNA". It matches the Rfam family "Bacterial small subunit ribosomal RNA", at positions 853 to 1349 of the family's 1533-position model. Lineage: Bacteria; Bacillati; Bacillota; Bacilli; Lactobacillales; Lactobacillaceae. The record is from RNAcentral.
UAACGCAUUAAGCAUUCCGCCUGGGGAGUACGACCGCAAGGUUGAAACUCAAAGGAAUUGACGGGGGCCCGCACAAGCGGUGGAGCAUGUGGUUUAAUUCGAAGCAACGCGAAGAACCUUACCAGGUCUUGACAUCUUUUGAUCACCUGAGAGAUCAGGUUUCCCCUUCGGGGGCAAAAUGACAGGUGGUGCAUGGUUGUCGUCAGCUCGUGUCGUGAGAUGUUGGGUUAAGUCCCGCAACGAGCGCAACCCUUAUGACUAGUUGCCAGCAUUUAGUUGGGCACUCUAGUAAGACUGCCGGUGACAAACCGGAGGAAGGUGGGGAUGACGUCAAAUCAUCAUGCCCCUUAUGACCUGGGCUACACACGUGCUACAAUGGAUGGUACAACGAGUUGCGAGACCGCGAGGUCAAGCUAAUCUCUUAAAGCCAUUCUCAGUUCGGACUGUAGGCUGCAACUCGCCUACACGAAGUCGGAAUCGCUAGUAAUCGCGGAU